Molecule: transfer RNA, 71 nt
Filed under: Anguilla anguilla (European eel)
Lineage: Eukaryota; Metazoa; Chordata; Actinopteri; Anguilliformes; Anguillidae
Description: tRNA-Asp
Source: RNAcentral
UCCUCGUUAGUAUAGUGGCCAGUAUCCCCGCCUGUCACGCGGGUGACGGAGUUCGAUUCCCGGCCCAGGAG